RNAcentral lists this ribosomal RNA (916 nucleotides) under uncultured bacterium. RNAcentral's name for it is "bacterial SSU rRNA". It matches the Rfam family "Bacterial small subunit ribosomal RNA", at positions 56 to 965 of the family's 1533-position model. The record is from RNAcentral.
UGCAAGUCGAACGAGAUGACACCGGUAUUUAUAUUGGUUGAUUCUAGUGGCGCACGGGUGAGGAACACGUGAACAACAUACCCUUGAGUGGGGGAUAGCCCGCCGAAAGGCGGAUUAAUACCCCAUGGUACCUUCGGGUUAAAGAUGGCUUCGGCUGUCGCUUAAGGAUUGGUUCGCGCCCUAUCAGCUUGUUGGUGAGGUAAUAGCUCACCAAGGCUACGACGGGUACCUGGUUUGAGAGGACGAUCAGGCACACUGGAACUGAGACACGGUCCAGACACCUACGGGUGGCAGCAGUCGAGAAUAAUUCACAAUGGACGAAAGUCUGAUGGUGCAACGCCGCGUGGAGGAUGACGGUCUUCGGAUUGUAAACUCCUGUCAUCAGGGAGUAAGACCUGGGUGUUAAUAGCACACAGGGUUGAUAGUACCUGAAGAGGAAGGGACGGCUAACUUCGUGCCAGCAGCCGCGGUAAUACGAAGGUCCCAAGCGUUGUUCGGAUUCACUGGGCGUAAAGGGAGCGUAGGCUGUACGGUAAGUCAGAUGUGAAAUCUCGGGGCUCAACCCCGAAACUGCAUCCGAUACUGCCAUACUAGAGGAUUGGAGAGGUAACAGGAAUUCACGGUGUAGCAGUGAAAUGCGUAGAUAUCGUGAGGAAGACCAAUGGCGAAAGCAUGUUACUGGACAACUCCUGACGCUGAGGCUCGAAGGCUAGGGUAGCGAAAGGGAUUAGAUACCCCUGUAGUCCUAGCAGUAAACGGUGCGCGCUUGGUGUGAGGGGAUUCGACCCCCCUUGUGCCGGAGCUAACGCGUUAAGCGCGCCGCCUGGGAAGUACGGUCGCAAGACUAAAACUCAAAGAAAUUGACGGGGACCCGCACAAGCGGUGGAGUAUGUGGCUUAAUUCGAUGCAACGCGAA